GGUCAUAGCUCAGAGGUUGAGCAUCUGCUUUGCAUGCAGAAGGUCCCAAGUUCAAUCUAGCCCAGGUAGGGCUA
Molecule: non-coding RNA, 74 nt
Organism: Podarcis lilfordi (Lilford's wall lizard)
Lineage: Eukaryota; Metazoa; Chordata; Lepidosauria; Squamata; Lacertidae
Source: the annotation of a GenBank genome assembly